Molecule: ribosomal RNA, 216 nt
Filed under: Glomeromycotina sp.
Lineage: Eukaryota; Fungi; Glomeromycota
Description: partial small subunit ribosomal RNA
Rfam family: Eukaryotic small subunit ribosomal RNA (bases 75-216)
Source: RNAcentral
GGGUCAGUAGGUUGGUCGUGCCACCGGUACGUACUGGUCUCACUGAUUCCUCCCUCCUGAAGAACCGUAAUGCCAUUAAUUUGGUGUUGCGGGGAAACAGGACUGUUACUUUGAAAAAAUUAGAGUGUUUAAAGCAAGCUAACGCUUGAAUACAUUAGCAUGGAAUAAUGAAAUAGGACGAUCGAUCCUAUUUUGUUGGUUCCUAGGAUUGACGUA